RNAcentral lists this ribosomal RNA (492 nucleotides) under uncultured bacterium. RNAcentral describes it as "partial 16S ribosomal RNA". It matches the Rfam family "Bacterial small subunit ribosomal RNA", at positions 29 to 507 of the family's 1533-position model. The record is from RNAcentral.
AGUGAACGCUGGCGGUAGGCCUAACACAUGCAAGUCGAACGGCAGCACAGUAAGAGCUUGCUCUUACGGGUGGCGAGUGGCGGACGGGUGAGGAAUACAUCGGAAUCUACUUUUUCGUGGGGGAUAACGUAGGGAAACUUACGCUAAUACCGCAUACGACCUACGGGUGAAAGCAGGGGAUCUUCGGACCUUGCGCGAUUGUAUGAGCCGAUGUCGGAUUAGCUAGUUGGCGGGGUAAAGGCCCACCAAGGCGACGAUCCGUAGCUGGUCUGAGAGGAUGAUCAGCCACACUGGAACUGAGACACGGUCCAGACUCCUACGGGAGGCAGCAGUGGGGAAUAUUGGACAAUGGGAGCAAGCCUGAUCCAGACAUACCGCGUGGGUGAAGAAGGCAUUCGGGUUGUAAAGCCCUUUUGUUGGGAAAGAAAAGCAGCAGGUUAAUACCCCGCUGUUCUGACGGUACCCAAAGAAUAAGCACCGGCUAACUUCGUG